RNAcentral lists this ribosomal RNA (253 nucleotides) under uncultured bacterium. RNAcentral describes it as "partial 16S ribosomal RNA". It matches the Rfam family "Bacterial small subunit ribosomal RNA", at positions 524 to 776 of the family's 1533-position model. The record is from RNAcentral.
UACGGGGGGGGCAAGCGUUGUUCGGAAUUACUGGGCGUAAAGGGUUCGUAGGUGGCCAACUAAGUCAGACGUGAAAUCCCUCAGCUCAACUGGGGAACUGCGUCUGAUACUGGUCGGCUUGAGUGCAGGAGAGGAACGCGGAAUUCCAGGUGUAGCGGUGAAAUGCGUAGAUAUCUGGAGGAACACCGGUGGCGAAGGCGGCAUCCUGGACCAAUACUGACACUGAGGAGCGAAAGCCAGGGGAGCAAACGGG